GGGGCUAUAGCUCAGUUGGGAGAGCGCCUGGAUCGCACCCAGGAGGUCGCCGGUUCGAGUCCGGCUAGCUCCAUCA
This 76-nucleotide transfer RNA is filed under the name Actinomycetes bacterium. RNAcentral's name for it is "Actinobacteria bacterium tRNA-Ala". It matches the Rfam family "tRNA". From Rfam's summary of the family: Transfer RNA (tRNA) molecules are approximately 80 nucleotides in length. Their secondary structure includes four short double-helical elements and three loops (D, anti-codon, and T loops). The record is from RNAcentral. Lineage: Bacteria; Bacillati; Actinomycetota; Actinomycetes.